CAGUGAUCGUACGGUCUUUGUACCGGCGACAUAUCCUUCAAAUGUCUGCCUUAUCAACCGUCGAUGGUAGUUUAUGCGCCUACCAUGGUUGUAACGGGUAACGGAGAAUUAGGGUUCGACUCCGGAGAGGGAGCCUGAGAAAUGGCUACCACAUCUAAGGAAGGCAGCAGGCACGCAAAUUACCCACUCUUGGUACGAGGAGGUAGUGACGAAGAAUAACAGGACGGCCUCUUAUUGAGGCCCGUCACUGGAAUGAGUACAGUUUAAAUCCUUUAACGAGGAUCUAUUGGAGGGCAAGUCUGGUGCCAGCAGCCGCGGUAAUUCCAGCUCCAAUAGCGUAUAUUAAAGUUGUUGCGUUUAAAAAGCUCGUAGUUGAAUCUGCGCCUUUUGGUUGGCGGU
Molecule: ribosomal RNA, 399 nt
Filed under: Nematoda sp. YAMAG2018
Lineage: Eukaryota; Metazoa; Nematoda
Description: SSU rRNA
Rfam family: Eukaryotic small subunit ribosomal RNA
Source: RNAcentral